RNAcentral lists this ribosomal RNA (461 nucleotides) under uncultured bacterium. RNAcentral describes it as "partial 16S ribosomal RNA". It matches the Rfam family "Bacterial small subunit ribosomal RNA", at positions 339 to 795 of the family's 1533-position model. The record is from RNAcentral.
CUACGGGGGGCAGCAGUCGAGAAUCUUCCGCAAUGGACGAAAGUCUGACGGAGCGACGCCGCGUGCGGGAUGAAGGCCUUCGGGUUGUAAACCGCUGUCAGUGGGGAGGAAAUGCAUCAGGGUUCUCCCUGGUGUUUGACCGAUCCGCAGAGGAAGCGCAGGCUAAGGUCGUGCCAGCAGCCGCGGUAACACGAACUGCGCGAACGUUAUUCGGAAUCACUGGGCUUAAAGAGUUCGUAGGCGGCCUUUCAAGUCGGGUGUGAAAUCCCUCGGCUCAACCGAGGAAUUGCGCCUGAUACUGUUGGGCUUGAGGGGGAUAGGGAUGAGCGGAACUGAUGGUGGAGCGGUGAAAUGCGUUGAUAUCAUCAGGAACACCGGUGGCGAAGGCGGCUCACUGGAUCUCUUCUGACGCUGAGGAACGAAAGCUAGGGGAGCGAACGGGAUUAGAUACCCCGGUAGUC